This 433-nucleotide ribosomal RNA is filed under the name uncultured bacterium. RNAcentral describes it as "partial 16S ribosomal RNA". It matches the Rfam family "Bacterial small subunit ribosomal RNA", at positions 29 to 507 of the family's 1533-position model. The record is from RNAcentral.
AACGAACGCUGGCGGCAUGCCUAACACAUGCAAGUCGAACGAGACCUUCGGGUCUAGCGGCGCACGGGUGCGUAACGCGUGGGAACCUGCCCUUAGGUUCGGAAUAACUCCCCGAAAGGGGUGCUAAUACCGGAUAAUGUCUUCGGACCAAAGAUUUAUCGCCUUUGGAUGGGCCCGCGUUGGAUUAGCUAGUUGGUAGGGUAAACGCCUACCAAGGCGACGAUCCAUAGCUGGGCUGAGAGGAUGAUCAGCCACACUGGGACUGAGACACGGCCCAGACUCCUACGGGAGGCAGCAGUGGGGAAUAUUGGACAAUGGGCGAAAGCCUGAUCCAGCAAUGCCGCGUGAGUGAUGAAGGCCUUAGGGUUGUAAAGCUCUUUUACCCGGGAUGAUAAUGACAGUACCGGGAGAAUAAGCUCCGGCUAACUCCGUG